Molecule: long non-coding RNA, 321 nt
Filed under: Physcomitrium patens
Lineage: Eukaryota; Viridiplantae; Streptophyta; Bryopsida; Funariales; Funariaceae
Description: long non-coding RNA (PPAT_LNC008116)
Source: RNAcentral
CAAUAACAUCUACGACAACGAUUUCAGUAUCCUGUAUAAUUCACGAACACACAAGCAUAUCCCAAACCCUGGAACGAACAACUUCCAAUCCACAAAAUCUAAUCAAAAAAAUUCCUUCGAUUACAAUCCCUCUCCACUAAACUUACAAUCUUGCGAUAAACAAUGACUAGAAACUUCCAUACGUCCUUAAUCUUUCACAACAAUUGAUAAAUAGUGAUCCAUAAAUAACUUCGUAAAUCAAACAUUAAUUCAUUAAAUCAAUUCUCUUCACUAGAAUCAACACUAAUACAAAAGAAACAAGAAAACUAAAAAGAAGAGAUA